UACAGAGGUCUCAAGCGUUGUUCGGAUUCAUUGGGCGUAAAGGGUGCGUAGGUGGCGCCGUAAGUCGGGUGUGAAAUUUCGGAGCUUAACUCCGAAACUGCAUUCGAUACUGCGGUGCUUGAGGACUGGAGAGGAGACUGGAAUUCUUGGUGUAGCAGUGAAAUGCGUAGAUAUCAAGAGGAACACCAGUGGCGAAGGCGAGUCCCUGGACAAUACCUGACACUGAGGCACGAAAGCCAAGGGAGCAAACAGG
Molecule: ribosomal RNA, 253 nt
Filed under: uncultured bacterium
Lineage: Bacteria
Description: partial 16S ribosomal RNA
Rfam family: Bacterial small subunit ribosomal RNA
Source: RNAcentral